ACCUGGCUGCUCAGUUGGUAGAGCAUAUGACUAUUGAUCUCAGGGUAGUGAGUUCAAGCCUCAUGUUGGGUG
This 72-nucleotide transfer RNA is filed under the name Canis lupus familiaris (dog). It matches the Rfam family "tRNA". Rfam says of the family: Transfer RNA (tRNA) molecules are approximately 80 nucleotides in length. The record is from Rfam by way of RNAcentral. RNAcentral also lists the same sequence under 1 other name. Lineage: Eukaryota; Metazoa; Chordata; Mammalia; Carnivora; Canidae.